Molecule: ribosomal RNA, 269 nt
Filed under: uncultured prokaryote
Description: partial 16S ribosomal RNA
Rfam family: Bacterial small subunit ribosomal RNA
Source: RNAcentral
UACGGAGAUGGCAAGCGUUGUUCGGAAUCACUGGGCGUAAAGGGCACGUAGGCGGUUGGGUAAGUCGGGUGUGGAAGCGUUCGGCUUAACCGGACAGAGUCAUUCGAUACUGCCCGACUCGAGCACGGUAGGGGAGAGUGGAACUCCUGGUGGAGCGGUGAUAUGCGUAGAUAUCAGGAGGAACGCCGGUGGCGAAGGCGACUCUCUGGGCCGUUGCUGACGCUGAGGUGCGAAAGCUAGGGGAGCGAACGGGAUUAGAUACCCCCGUA